This is a long non-coding RNA of Mastomys coucha (southern multimammate mouse), 2426 nucleotides long. RefSeq lists it as uncharacterized. The transcript is spliced from 6 exons. Lineage: Eukaryota; Metazoa; Chordata; Mammalia; Rodentia; Muridae. The record is from RefSeq and is a predicted model, not a curated record.
CAGAGGGGGGGGAGGCCCUGGCGCUGCAGGACGUGGAGGCAUUUCUGGCUUCCUCAGGGGGGCUUGGGCUGGUGGGCUCGAAGGCAUUUGGUGAGGAAGAGGAGAGGAAAGCUCGAUAGCUGACAAGGCCCUAAAAGAGUUGGGCUCCGCCCCCCGGGAUGACGUCACUCUCGAGGUGGCUGCCGCUGUCACGUGCGCCCACUUCUGGGGGGCCUUUCCUCCUGCUCCGAUAGCCCGGACGUUCCUCCAGACUGCCCCCCCCUUGGGUCACCACAGGCACACGAGUCACUCAAAGUCAUCGACGCCAACAAGUGUCAGUUAUUCCUCUCCUGCUUCUCAGUGGUAAUGUGGUUUAAUAAUAAUUCACCAAAUGAAAACCUUUAAACCCAUUUUCCUGGCAAUUGGAAAACCACUGUAAUCAUCCAGUUUUAGCAGCAGAUCUCUUUAUUGGAUUUUUGCUGAUAGCUGAAGCCCACAUGGUCUCUUGCUCCAAUAAAGCACUUUGCAACUCAUUUCUUUUGACUGACCUUUUCCAGAUCGUGUAUUCACAUUGCACUGGAAACCUAGGACCUUGUAUAGAAAGCAAGACUCCAGAGUUAUAUUCCACCUGCCCCCCACCAAGGCUUUAGGUUUAAGGUGUUGGAAAGUCAUCCAAGUAGAAAACAGCACUAACAGGCUAGAGCUUGGAAUUGACAAAACAAAUUCAAGGACAGAAACUAUAGCAUGACUCAAGAGGAAGUGCUCAACCGACUGCCGUCGGGUCUCUAUUCAAAACUGUACAGGGUCUCCAGAAAGUCUAGAUUGACCUUUGAACUCUCGAUCUCCCUGACUCCACCUCCUAAGAAGUUUUGAUUAGAGAUGUGCAACAGCAUGCCCGCCUUGUUCCAGGACUCUAAGUGGCUGGAUAGUACUCUGUAAGACACUUUCAUCUGUCUGUGCUGGUUUGCACUUUGAAAUAAUAUGAGCAGUGGCACUGUGAACAUCAGUGCACAUGUUUCGUCUACUAAUCCUACUCAACGAAAGACUCGGCCAGCAGUGACCACAGAGACUGAUGAUACUGACUUCUCCAGGAGAAAAAGACUACAGCGAAUUCCUCAUUGCUCCGUCUUCUCAACUCAGAUUGUGUGCACUCAUUCAUGUCCUGCAAAUUCAAUGAACCUGGGUUUUGUGUUGUUUGGGAUCAGGGACCCUGUGUUAUGAUUUAUCAUUAUUGUUAACAAUAUCCCCUGUCUUGGACCCUUCAGGCUGCUGUAAUAAAAUACCAUGAAGUAAGUGCCUUAUAAACAACCUGAGCUCCUUGCUCACAGGUCUAGAGGCUGGGAAGUCCAAGAUCAAGGCAGUAGCAAACGAUAGCACAGAUGAGGAGGGCCAGCUUCCAGGUUCAGGAUGGCAUCAUCUCCCUGACUUCUCACACAGGGGACAGCGGUGCAAGUCUGGGAGGAUCUUUUAUAAGGCCAUUAAUCCUGUUCAUGAUGGCUCUGCCUUCACAAACUAACCACCUCAUAAAGGCCCCAAUGUAUUAGACUAUGGUUUAAAUACAUUUGAAAAUAUGCCAUAAUAUCAAAGAAAAUGACAGAGGUGGUCCAGGAACAUAGCGUCAGACUGUUGUCUACUAAGUCAAAGGUUACUUCUGCUAUAAUUGCUACUUAAAUUACUUGCAGCUAUGGAAAGUAUGUAGCUGGUGAUAACUCAGUGGCAGAGAAUGUGUCCAAUAUACACAUCCAAGUUUGAUCUCCAGUACUUUCAAAAUAAAAAAGUAGGGAUACAUUAUAACAACAAUAUUCAAAAGGCACUAUUGUGUGAGAGAACAAAUUAUAGAGGUCUGUAUUACAUUGAUUUUCUAACAUUAUUAUAAGAAAUAAGCGCAAAAUUAGUGGCUUAAACAAUACAAAUUUAUCAUACUUCAGAUUAUAAUUUAGUGUAAGUCUCACCAGGCUAAAAACGUCAGGACUGCAUUCCUUUCUGGAGGAUUCCUGCUUUACACAGCUGGUAGCAUGAUUUGGUACUAUAUAGUUGUACUGCAAGUCUCUGCUCCUUGCCUAAUCUCUCCUUUCAGCUAGGGAGGUCUCCCUUAACCCUAGCAGCCCCUCCCUGCUCCUUGCAUGUAACCCCUGAUAAUUCAAAACCAACAACCACCUAUCAAAAUGUUCUCAUCCUGCAUCUCUUUGAGCAUCCAUCAGAGUUCACAGCUGAGAAGGCUUCCUCACGUUUAAGAAUCUUUUUCACUAGACUGGCCCUACCCAGUUCACCUAAGCAGGGUAAGGGAGGAGAACUCGGAAUGACUAAGAAGAGGAAGGCCUUCCUUUUGGCAGUAAAAAAGCAUUGUGGUUGUGUAGUGGUGAUGUGGUUGUGUAGUGGUGAUGCCUGUAUAACCGUGGAGACCCUGAAGCCCACAGGCCAGAAUAAAAUUAUGCAAUUAACAUGUG